CCGGCGGUGGCGAGGUGAGAGAAUUCCUGGAUAUCGUGUCCCCCGGAAGUUUGGGGGCCUCUGACACCGUCUCGAAGAAUAACGUAGCCGGACGUCGAUACUUUAGCAGCACGUAUAUGUGGGUACCCACUGCAUUCGGAUAUUCGUAGGUUUGAACAACGAUAAUUCGAGGGAACAAAGAUCGCCCUCAGACGCUACGAAGCGUGCGGUGAGGCGAGAGACGAGAGCUAUAUGGUCGCAGGCUGCAGGGUACUUUGAGGGCGUCCCUGAAUUCCGGGCAACUUUUACGAAUUCCUCAGCCAAACAAUACACGUACGUACGUACGUAGGUAUGUACGACGUACAUCGCUGCUGCAGUGCGGUAUGUAUAUAUACCUAUAACACGCGCGAUAUGACAAAAAGAAUUAAAUACAUUUAUCCGUAUGUUUAAUUCCUUCCAUUUUAUGGAUAGGUGUAUAAUUAUCAUUCGUAUAGAUUUAUUUCCUCUAGGUAAGAACACGAACACCGCGCCUACGUCCACCUAUGUAUAAGUGUCAGUUGCACGGGAUAUCGUUUACGUUUUAUCCCAGUCAAACGAAUCGUGACUCUGAUAUCAUGGAAGUAUCUCAACUCCGCACGUAUUUUGUACACGGUAAAUCCUUCAAGGGUCUGAAGAUGUGAGAACAACUUUUCAACUAUCCGGGGCGUCGUCACCUUGACUCACAAAUCGGAUUGCAUCGAUAAAAGAGAACUUAAGAUCGUUAAAAGGACUAUAUUAGAUAUUACAGCAAUCACACUUAUAUAAGCGUAAAAUGAAUUGAAAAAGGAAUUCAAGAAGUAGGAACAAGGAAACGAAUGGACGUGAUAUAUAUCAUAUUACAAUAACAUGAGAAAUAAAAUGAAAUAAUUCAUCUCUACUUCGAACUUCAAAGGUUGGAAAACGAUCAGUCUCUCGCCCACACGAAUUCGCACACGCACCGUGUCAUGGGUGUAAGGCAGCUGUUCGCUGCAAGGCAAAGACGGAGAGAGGAACUUCUGUAAUCGGUUGAAUAAUCACGAAGACGGUGCGAAUAGCACGAAACCUACGCCAUACAUCGUCCCGACUGCUGCUGCAAAACCAAUCUUUUUGCGUUCCUCACCUUUGUGUGGGUUGCUUAUACAGUCCACGGUAUAGUGAACUAUAUGAACCUGAUAUGAACAUCCGGAGCUAAUCCAGCUAUAGUCAUUGCCGAUUUCAGUCUCGAUCGGCUUAUACGUACGUAUACACGCCGUCUGCCGAUGCAGAUGACGACGUUCGCGAUUGUCCGUGUAUAUAUUUUUCGCCUACGAUCAUUCGUUUUUAUUUAGUUUUUUUUCUUUUUUUCUUUUUUUCUUCUUCUCCUUUAUCAGCUCUGUAACCCUUGCUUUACGACGAUCCACGGCCAGGGACAAAAUAUCCAUAUAUUCUAGUCUUUGAAGUUUUUUUUUGGUUUUCAAUUCUCUUUUCUUAUUUUCCGGUACCCGUUGAUAUAUGCGUCAUAACAGUGACGUUGAACACGACAACUAUACGAUGCGUAUUAACGUACGGCCUGCACAUAUGUAUUUAUACGUACGUAGGGUAAGUAUAUACUUAUAUACACGGUGCCACCAUAUCCCUGUACUCUACGAUCGUAAUAAACCUUGGGAAAAAUGAGCGAGAGAACCGACAAGGCCAGGAUCACCAUGUCCGACCAGUUGGUAGUGCACAGAUACUGAACUCUAUACUCGGAUACUCCGGACUUUCAACCACACCCAGACCUAUCCCACUACUCCAGGAUGCCCGAAGAUCCGGUACCAUCCGCAAAGGACACCAAGGAUCGUAAAUAUCCUGAGGUUAAUACACAGGAUAAAACCGGGGGCGAGAUAUGCGAAGUCCUGCAGUUUACCUGCUCGUUAUAAUGCAAUAUAUACUUCUCGACCACACCCCCCGGCGAUACGAAAAUAAGGAAUUUGUACGCAUGAUAAGGACAUGACUCGAUGUUUCUAAAGGAUAUGCCAUUUAAUUAUUGAAUUUUAUUUACAUACUUGUGUGAAACUAAAACGUCGUUUUAUUAUACAAUGUACAAGGUGUGCAAUUCGGUUCGGUACGCAAAAAUACGAUAUCUGUAGCACAAGGUUCGUACUUAUCUCUGACUGAUAUUCUUUCGGAUCCAUAUUCAUGAUGACGCGGGACAUCGACCGUUUUUAGAUACUUCAGAUAUUAUAAAGGAUAAAACUCUCGCUCGGCUCGUUGAGAAUGAAAAAUAAAACUAGGUCGUUCAUCCCGCGGUAAUUACGAUCCUCAACCGAUAGUUUUUCAUUCAUACAUUUCCGAGGUAGUUUCAACAAGUCGCUUUCCUCCAGCUAACUUACGGAGCGUCGCGCGGCGUUGAGAAUAUUGCAGACACCUUUUUGAUUUUUUUUUUACUUCAUUUGUCGUCUUUUCUUUUCUGGAAGAAGAACGAACAAAAAAAUGCUCGGGUACGUAUACUGUACCAUACCGGAAUAUGUCCUGAGAACUGGUAUCGUUGUCACGAAGAACUUUGUACCCCGGACUGCUGUGCAUUGCCGUGUAAUUUAUUGUACGGUGGGUGGCAGUAACCGAACACAAUACGACUCCGCUGACAACA
Long non-coding RNA from Athalia rosae (coleseed sawfly), 2605 nucleotides. RefSeq lists it as uncharacterized. The record is from RefSeq and is a predicted model, not a curated record. The transcript has 3 exons. Lineage: Eukaryota; Metazoa; Arthropoda; Insecta; Hymenoptera; Athaliidae.